This 324-nucleotide unclassified non-coding RNA is filed under the name uncultured fungus. RNAcentral describes it as "sequence contains ITS1". The stretch from base 1 to 107 matches the Rfam family "5.8S ribosomal RNA", at positions 50 to 154 of the family's 154-position model. Lineage: Eukaryota; Fungi. The record is from RNAcentral.
GAAAUGCGAUACUUGGUGUGAAUUACAGAAUCCCGUGAACCAUCGAGUCUUUGAACGCAAGUUGCGCCCGAAGCCUUCUGACCGAGGGCACGUCUGCCUGGGCGUCACGCAUCACGUCUCCCCCAACCCACCAAGCGUGGGAUGCGGGGGAGGAGCUGGCCUAAAUAAGGAGCCUCAGGCCACGGACUGCUGCGGCGAUUGGUGAAUAAUUAACUCUAUCCGUGCACUGCGUGGCCAUCGUGGACUCGCAGGACCCUGUGUUGUCCCCUCAUGCGGACAAACCGUUGCGACCCCAGGUCAGGCGGGGCUACCUGCUGAGUUUAA